UAGUCCACGCCCUAAACGAUGCUCACUCGGUAUUGGCGAUAUAAUGUCAGUGCCUAAGGGAAACCAUUAAGUGAGCCACCUGGGGAGUACGUUCGCAAGAAUGAAACUCAAAGGAAUUGACGGGGAUCCGCACAAGCGGUGGAGCAUGUGGUUUAAUUCGAUGGAUACGCGAGGAACCUUACCUAGGCUCUAAUGCCUCUGCUACCCCUUGAAAGAGGGGGUUCCUUCGGGACAGAGUGCAAGGUGCUGCAUGGUUGUCGUCAGCUCGUGCCGUGAGGUGUUGGGUUAAGUCCCGCAACGAGCGCAACCCCUUUCUUUAGUUGCCAGCGAGUAAUGUCGGGGACUCUAAAGAUACUGCCUGUGUAAGCAGAGAGGAAGGAGGGGACGACGUCAAAUCAUCAUGGCCUUUAUGCCUAGGGCUACACACGUGCUACAAUGGUCGGUACAGAGGGAUGCAAAACCGCGAGGUCUAGCAAAUCCGUAAAGCCGGCCCUAGUUCGGAUUGGAGU
RNAcentral lists this ribosomal RNA (509 nucleotides) under uncultured bacterium. Its description in RNAcentral is "bacterial SSU rRNA". It matches the Rfam family "Bacterial small subunit ribosomal RNA", at positions 791 to 1304 of the family's 1533-position model. The record is from RNAcentral.